RNAcentral lists this ribosomal RNA (253 nucleotides) under uncultured bacterium. RNAcentral describes it as "partial 16S ribosomal RNA". It matches the Rfam family "Bacterial small subunit ribosomal RNA", at positions 524 to 776 of the family's 1533-position model. The record is from RNAcentral.
UACAGAGGGGGCAAGCGUUAUUCGGAAUUAUUGGGCGUAAAGGGCGCGUAGGCGGCUCGUCGCGUCGACCGUGAAAACCCGCGGCUUAACUGCGGGCUUGCGGUUGAUACGGGCGGGCUAGAGUUCGGUAGGGGAGACUGGAAUUCCUGGUGUAGCGGUGAAAUGCGCAGAUAUCAGGAGGAACACCGGUGGCGAAGGCGGGUCUCUGGGCCGAUACUGACGCUGAGGAGCGAAAGCGUGGGGAGCGAACAGG